GUAGGUGGCAAGCGUUGUCCGGAAUUAUUGGGCGUAAAGCGCGCGCAGGCGGUCCUUUAAGUCUGAUGUGAAAGCCCACGGCUCAACCGUGGAGGGUCAUUGGAAACUGGGGGACUUGAGUACAGAAGAGGAAAGCGGAAUUCCAAGUGUAGCGGUGAAAUGCGUAGAGAUUUGGAGGAACACCAGUGGCGAAGGCGGCUUUCUGGUCUGUAACUGACGCUGAGGCGCGAAAGCGUGGGGAGCAAACAGGGAUUAGAUACCCUGGUAGUCCACGCCGUAAACGAUGAGUGCUGAGUGUUAGGGGGUUUCCGCCCCCUUAGUGCUGCAGCUAACGCAUUAAGCACUCCGCCUGGGGAGUACGGCCGCAAGGCUG
Molecule: ribosomal RNA, 373 nt
Filed under: uncultured organism
Description: partial 16S ribosomal RNA
Rfam family: Bacterial small subunit ribosomal RNA
Source: RNAcentral